Molecule: ribosomal RNA, 495 nt
Filed under: uncultured bacterium
Lineage: Bacteria
Description: partial 16S ribosomal RNA
Rfam family: Bacterial small subunit ribosomal RNA
Source: RNAcentral
UGAACGCUGGCGGCGUGCCUAAUACAUGCAAGUCGAGCGAACGGACGAGAAGCUUGCUUCUCUGAUGUUAGCGGCGGACGGGUGAGUAACACGUGGAUAACCUACCUAUAAGACUGGGAUAACUUCGGGAAACCGGAGCUAAUACCGGAUGAUAUUUUGAACCGCAUGGUUCACAAGUGAAAGACGGUCUUGCUGUCACUUAUAGAUGGAUCCGCGCUGCAUUAGCUAGUUGGUAAGGUAACGGCUUACCAAGGGAACGAUGCAUAGCCGACCUGAGAGGGUGAUCGGCCACACUGGAACUGAGACACGGUCCAGACUCCUACGGGAGGCAGCAGUAGGGAAUCUUCCGCAAUGGGCGAAAGCCUGACGGAGCAACGCCGCGUGAGUGAUGAAGGUCUUCGGAUCGUAAAACUCUGUUAUGAGGGAAGAACAUAUGUGUAAGUAACUGUGCACAUCUUGACGGUACCUAAUCAGAAAGCCACGGCUAACUACGUG